Long non-coding RNA from Myxocyprinus asiaticus (Chinese sucker), 799 nucleotides. RefSeq lists it as uncharacterized. The transcript is spliced from 3 exons. Lineage: Eukaryota; Metazoa; Chordata; Actinopteri; Cypriniformes; Catostomidae. The record is from RefSeq and is a predicted model, not a curated record.
GUUCACUGUCACAUAAAAAAAUACACAUUUUGAAGUAUUGGAAAAAAAAAAUUACAAAAAACUUUUUUGUUAACUUAGGUUCGCUGUCUGAAGUCUGAUGCUUUAGGAAGGGUUUUCAGCUUUUUGUAGUGGCUUGAAUUACUGUGCCCCAGCUAUCCACAGAGAUGCACACCAUAACAAAAACAAAUCUCUCUCAAGAGAACUAAUCUUAUGUCAGAUCUUGACAUCAGAGUAUACAGAUGGUUAAUCCAUUAAUCAUUAAGAAGUUGUUUUAUAUACUGAAUGAUUUGGAAUUCUCAAAGCCACUUUUUUGUUUAUAUACAAUAAAAAUCAAUUUAAAUGAUGGUUUCAAAGUUAAAACUUGAUUUAAAACAAAAUCAAACAAGUUAACAAUGACAUAAAGAAAUAUGUACCACAUGAACAGUUUAUAAGGUCAUCGUUGUAUAGCCCAACGCUUUUUGUUUUGGAGGUUUAUGCAAAGAAACAUUUCACUGUGGCCACUCCAUACACAGUGAUGCAUGCGGGCUCAAAUACUCAAGCAGCAGGCUCUGCAUGAAAUAUUGAUGGACACAUUUUCCUUCUGCUGCUGCAACUGUGCAGGCUUUUUCAAGCGCCGGAUAGCCGCCUCAGGCACAACGGUUUGCAGCUGCUCUGUAUGCAAUGUGCAGCAGUGCACAAGGAAUUGUAAGCUUUGGUGGUCACCCUGUUCCCCUGAGACAGAACAUUCAAAUACAACAACAAAGAACAGAAGAUGAAAGAGAGAGAGAGAGAGAGAGAGAGAGAGAGAGAGAGAGAGAGA